Molecule: ribosomal RNA, 253 nt
Filed under: uncultured bacterium
Lineage: Bacteria
Description: partial 16S ribosomal RNA
Rfam family: Bacterial small subunit ribosomal RNA
Source: RNAcentral
UACGAAGGGGGCUAGCGUUGUUCGGAAUCACUGGGCGUAAAGCGCACGUAGGCGGAUUGCUAAGUCAGGGGUGAAAUCCUGGAGCUCAACUCCAGAACUGCCUUUGAUACUGGCGAUCUCGAGUCCGGGAGAGGUGAGUGGAACUGCGAGUGUAGAGGUGAAAUUCGUAGAUAUUCGCAAGAACACCAGUGGCGAAGGCGGCUCACUGGCCCGGUACUGACGCUGAGGUGCGAAAGCGUGGGGAGCAAACAGG